CGGAAAUGACAACUUUGACAAAAAAAAGCUCUCAGUUAAUUACGGUGGAAGUGCUCUGUUGCGACGAUACCCCUCGUUGCAGUAGCGUAUACCAGUGUUGAAGCGUACCGAACGUCGAACAGCUACCUAUACUGGACAUACAAACGUCAACGAGAUAGACAAUGAUAAGGCAAUUUGGAUUGUAAAACACUCAGCAUUAUCGAAACCCAAAAUUUUGCAAGUUUUUUAAAAAGCAUUUUUUUUAUUGAUUCUGUGGCGAAAUUGAAGCAUAAAAUUAGCAGUCUGUGCCUGAUUCGUGAAUUAAUUCGUAGGGCGAACAGAUAGUGAGUAGAUGGAAAUAUGCAGAUUAGAGAGCAAAUCUCAUUGUCGAAACACUAACUAAUGUUUUCUUAAAUUAUAUUACGUUAUAGCUGGCUAAAACUUAAAAACUAAAUCACAGGCUAUUCUUUGGUUUGUUCAUAAAAAGUAAAAGAUAAAGAUUGUACCGUAUUGCUGAUUUGCUGCACCUAGGGUGGUCGUGAAACGAUCCUUGUCUACCGAGUUGAUCACCAAAAUUCUUGAAGCUGUGUCAGCACUUUCCGUGUUUGCUAUCAAGAUUU
Long non-coding RNA from Aedes aegypti (yellow fever mosquito), 599 nucleotides. RefSeq lists it as uncharacterized. Lineage: Eukaryota; Metazoa; Arthropoda; Insecta; Diptera; Culicidae. The transcript has 3 exons. The record is from RefSeq and is a predicted model, not a curated record.